UGGGGAAUUUUGGACAAUGGGGGAAACCCUGAUCCAGCCAUCCCGCGUGUGCGAUGAAGGCCUUCGGGUUGUAAAGCACUUUUGGCAGGAAAGAAACGUCAUGGGUUAAUACCCCGUGAAACUGACGGUACCUGCAGAAUAAGCACCGGCUAACUACGUGCCAGCAGCCGCGGUAAUACGUAGGGUGCAAGCGUUAAUCGGAAUUACUGGGCGUAAAGCGUGCGCAGGCGGUUCGGAAAGAAAGAUGUGAAAUCCCAGAGCUCAACUUUGGAACUGCAUUUUUAACUACCGGGCUAGAGUGUGUCAGAGGGAGGUGGAAUUCCGGGUGUAGCAGUGAAAUGCGUAGAUAUGCGGAGGAACACCGAUGGCGAAGGCAGCCUCCUGGGAUAACACUGACGCUCAUGCAGGAAAGCGUGGGGAGCAAACAGG
RNAcentral lists this ribosomal RNA (429 nucleotides) under Acidobacteriota bacterium. Its description in RNAcentral is "Acidobacteria bacterium partial 16S ribosomal RNA". It matches the Rfam family "Bacterial small subunit ribosomal RNA", at positions 355 to 776 of the family's 1533-position model. The record is from RNAcentral. Lineage: Bacteria; Pseudomonadati; Acidobacteriota.